RNAcentral lists this long non-coding RNA (976 nucleotides) under Mytilus galloprovincialis (Mediterranean mussel). The record is from RNAcentral. Lineage: Eukaryota; Metazoa; Mollusca; Bivalvia; Mytilida; Mytilidae.
GUUUUCCUAUUUAAUCCUAUUUAUUACAAAAUGACAAACGUUAACAGUAAAUAUAAACUUCAAUGAACAAUUUCAAUAAUCCUAACUUUAAAAGAUAAACUAGAAAUAAAGCUUUAAAGAGUCCGCUAAAAUGAAAUAUUCCUUUUAAACUUUGAAAACGCUAACUUUACUAUUUUCCUUUACAAUUUAACCUUUAAAUAAAAUGAAGUUUCUAAGAAAAAUUAACCAUUUUGACUAAAAUAAAUAACGAGCAAAUAAAAAUACCAACUGUAAGAACCAAAAGUUUAAGCAGAACUGACGACCAAGCGUCGAAAUUACGUCAAUGUUGGAUUGUUGGAAAGUUGGAAAGUUGGAUUGUUGGAUCGCGCGCUUGCCGUCCAACUAAAUAUUUGAAUUCUUAAAUAAAUUACAAAAAUCACAAUAAUAUACAAUUUUAGUAACCUUUAUAUAAUAAACAAAGUUUGCAUGGUACUAAACAAGUUUCUAUAGUAACUAAAAAUACAACAAUAUAUACAGCGCCACCGGAAGUCACAAUACGUAAACAACAUUGCGAAAAGUUAUGUGUGUCACCGGCGGACCAAAAUGAUAAAUAUCAAGGAUAGUGAGCAUUAACAUCUACAAAACAUUGAAGACGUUGACUACAAAUACUAAAAGGAAUUACAAGAAGUAUGUGAAAACAGUUGCCAACACGUAAAAAUAGUGUUUUUAUUGAACAAUCGUCCCAAGUGACACAUGGAUUCUACUGCGCAUGUCAAUACAUUUCAUUCAUAAAAUUCAAGCACAGGUGCGUGGAAUUUACUACGAUUUACUACGAUUUACUACGAUCUACUACAGUUGCUACAAUUGGAUCUUCACAAAAAUACAAGACAUACAGUUGGAUUAUUCAGUGGAUUAUUACUAUGAACUGGUAAAUUAUUACAUGAACUUCAACUGGUUUAUCAAAUAUAUGCAAAUGACAGUAAUUCAAUAUUUCUAC